CAGCCGCCGCGGUAAUACAGAGGGUGCGAGCGUUAAUCGGAUUUACUGGGCGUAAAGCGUGCGUAGGCGGCUUCUUAAGUCGGAUGUGAAAUCUCUGAGCUUAACUUAGGAAUUGCAUUCGAUACUGGGAAGCUAGAGUAUGGGAGAGGAUGGUAGAAUUCCAGGUGUAGCGGUGAAAUGCGUAGAGAUCUGGAGGAAUACCGAUGGCGAAGGCAGCCAUCUGGCCUAAUACAGACGCUGAGGUACGAAAGCAUGGGGAGCAAACAGGAUUAGAUACCCCAGUAGUCCCUGUCUCUUAUAC
RNAcentral lists this ribosomal RNA (301 nucleotides) under uncultured bacterium. RNAcentral's name for it is "partial 16S ribosomal RNA". It matches the Rfam family "Bacterial small subunit ribosomal RNA", at positions 509 to 807 of the family's 1533-position model. The record is from RNAcentral.